UACGGGGGGGGCAAGCGUUGUUCGGAAUUACUGGGCGUAAAGGGCGCGUAGGCGGGCUGGUAAGUCAGGGGUGAAAGCCCACGGCCCAACCGUGGAAGUGCCUUUGAUACUGCCAGUCUCGAGGGAGGUAGGGGCGUGCGGAACUUCCGGUGGAGCGGUGAAAUGCGUAGAUAUCGGAAGGAACACCGGUGGCGAAAGCGGCGCGCUGGACCUCUUCUGACGCUGAGGCGCGAAAGCCAGGGGAGCAAACGGG
This 253-nucleotide ribosomal RNA is filed under the name uncultured bacterium. Its description in RNAcentral is "partial 16S ribosomal RNA". It matches the Rfam family "Bacterial small subunit ribosomal RNA", at positions 524 to 776 of the family's 1533-position model. The record is from RNAcentral.